Molecule: long non-coding RNA, 277 nt
Filed under: Elaeis guineensis (African oil palm)
Lineage: Eukaryota; Viridiplantae; Streptophyta; Magnoliopsida; Arecales; Arecaceae
Description: long non-coding RNA (EGUI_LNC081004)
Source: RNAcentral
GAGCAACAUUUGGCACUAGAGGAAGGGCCUUCGACUUAUUUCAAAGUCCUAUUUUGAGAGGAGAGAGCUCAUCACCAGCCACCAUGAAGACACGAAGAGAUGCAUCGAAUGCAUUGCAACACUCCAAUGGCUGGUAGGCCAACAAUGCCCAGCCAACCAAUGCACCACCACCAUCGAUCCAGGAGAACACCCCACCAAUAGCACCGACGGUCUCCCAAGACCAAUAAAACAGCCUUAUCCAACAAGUGCAGGCUCUGUCAACUGCGAUGAGGGGGAU